GUGUUCAGAAUUGUUGAUUCUUGGGGUUUACUCGAUGGGGCGUGGGCUUG
RNAcentral lists this transfer RNA (50 nucleotides) under Hebesoma violentum. Its description in RNAcentral is "tRNA-Asn". Lineage: Eukaryota; Metazoa; Acanthocephala; Eoacanthocephala; Neoechinorhynchida; Neoechinorhynchidae. The record is from RNAcentral.